GUCAGGAUGGCCGAGUGUUCCAAGGCCCUGUGUUCAGGUCGCAGUCUCCUCCUGGAGGCAUGGGUUCAAAUCCCACUUCUGCCU
This 84-nucleotide transfer RNA is filed under the name Takifugu flavidus (sansaifugu). It matches the Rfam family "tRNA". Rfam says of the family: Transfer RNA (tRNA) molecules are approximately 80 nucleotides in length. Their secondary structure includes four short double-helical elements and three loops (D, anti-codon, and T loops). The record is from Rfam by way of RNAcentral. Lineage: Eukaryota; Metazoa; Chordata; Actinopteri; Tetraodontiformes; Tetraodontidae.